GACGAACGCUGGCGGCGUGCUUAACACAUGCAAGUCGAACGGAAAGGCCCUGCUUUUGUGGGGUGCUCGAGUGGCGAACGGGUGAGUAACACGUGAGUAACCUGCCCUUGACUUUGGGAUAACUUCAGGAAACUGGGGCUAAUACCGGAUAGGAGCUCCUGCUGCAUGGUGGGGGUUGGAAAGUUUCGGCGGUUGGGGAUGGACUCGCGGCUUAUCAGCUUGUUGGUGGGGUAGUGGCUUACCAAGGCUUUGACGGGUAGCCGGCCUGAGAGGGUGGCCGGCCACAUUGGGACUGAGAUACGGCCCAGACUCCUACGGGAGGCAGCAGUGGGGAAUAUUGCACAAUGGGCGGAAGCCUGAUGCAGCAACGCCGCGUGCGGGAUGACGGCCUUCGGGUUGUAAACCGCUUUCGCCUGUGACGAAGCGUGAGUGACGGUAAUGGGUAAAGAAGCACCGGCUAACUGCGUG
RNAcentral lists this ribosomal RNA (468 nucleotides) under uncultured bacterium. Its description in RNAcentral is "partial 16S ribosomal RNA". It matches the Rfam family "Bacterial small subunit ribosomal RNA", at positions 28 to 507 of the family's 1533-position model. The record is from RNAcentral.